GUGGAAUUGAAAUCGGAGCCACUUUCCUUAACACAAUGAGCAAACGUUUGAUGUUCGGCCUUUUUGUUUUCACUCUAUAUCCAGGUGCGGUGCUGGGUGACUCGAUCCAGCCCAGGGAACCCCAGAUGUCUGGAGCUGAAGGCGGCUCCGUGACCCUCAGCUGUUCUUAUGAAACCAGCUACACUUCCGGUGUCUAUCUCUACUGGUACCGUCAGUACCCGAACCGAGCCCCGCAGUACAUCCUGCGGAGAGGAGCAAAAGGAAGCACGUUCAGUGAUACCGCAAGUUUCGCCCAGGAGAGGUUUUCUUCCCAGGCUGCUGACAGCUCCACCGUUCUGAACAUCACAGCCCUGGAGCUGGCGGACACCGCGGUGUAUCUCUGCGCCCUGCAGCAGGCACAGUGA
This is a non-coding RNA of Mauremys reevesii (Reeves's turtle), 404 nucleotides long. The record is from the annotation of a RefSeq genome assembly. Lineage: Eukaryota; Metazoa; Chordata; Testudines; Geoemydidae.